AAGGUAUGGUGAGGGCACUUUCUAAGCAUCUCUUUUAAUCUCUCCCAACUAACAUAAGUAGGUUAUCUUUCUAAUUGAGUAAAAUAAGUAAUAUCAUUUCUAAGUUU
Small nucleolar RNA from Dendrobium catenatum, 107 nucleotides. The record is from RefSeq and is a predicted model, not a curated record. NCBI's taxonomy places the organism in Eukaryota, Viridiplantae, Streptophyta, Magnoliopsida, Asparagales, Orchidaceae.